GGGUGCCUAGCAGGCAUUCCAAACUGUGCUGAUCACUUCGAACCGGCGUGUUUUGAGAAAGACUUAGCAGAAAGCAUCGGAUACAGAGGUAGAGGCUGAAACCAGCUGCGGUGCCAACUAUUUUUCCUACGGCCAUCAGGACCUCAACCACCAGCAAGAGAACUAAAUCUCACAGCCGCCACGUUGCCGUAGACAAGAGGGUCCUCCAGGUCCAAAGGGUGAAAAGGGGGAUCAAGGUGACCAGGGACCACGGAUGGUCUUCCCUAAGAUCAAUCACGGCUUUCUUUCCGCUGACCAGCAGCUCAUAAAGCGGCGUCUCAUUAAGGGGGAUCAGGGGCAAGCCGGACCACCCGGGCCUCCGGGGCCCCCAGGUCCUCCUGGCCCACGGGGGCCCCCAGGGGACACAGGCAAGGAUGGGCCGAGGGGGGUACCAGGCCUAACAGGUGAUCAAGGGAAUCCAGGAGAAAUCGGACUCAUGGGACCCGAGGGACCUCCAGGACUCAAGGGUACACUGGGGCCUCCUGGUAUUCCAGGUGUUGAUGGACUGAAGGGGGAUCUUGGCGUCCCGGGACUGGACGGCAUCCCCGGAGCCAAGGGUGAAAUGGGAGAGCAAGGUGAAAAGGGUGAUAUGGGGGAAGAAGGACCAAAAGGUGAAAUUGGGGAGAAGGGGGAUGCAGGCUCCUCUGCAGCAGGCAUCAAGGGCGAACCUGGAGAGCCUGGAAGAAGCGGACACAAGGGAGAGCCAGGACUUCCAGGGCUGCCUGGACUCCCAGGGAUUAAGGGAGAGCCAGGAUUCUUUGGUCCCCAGGGAGAGCCAGGUCUCCCAGGCCUUCCAGGAACUAAGGGAGAGAGAGGCGAGCAUGGAGCGCCCGGAAAAGGCGAACGAGGCGAAAUUGGACCCGUCGGGUCAAAGGGUUCGCAAGGAGAGGCAGGCACGCCUGGUCCCAAAGGGUCAAAGGGGGAAACUGGAGAUAAAGGAGACUUUGGGCCCGCGGGGCCAAAGGGCCCACCUGGGCAAAAAGGAGACCAGGGGGCCACUGAAAUCAUCGACUAUAAUGGGAAUAUUCAGGAAGCAUUACAGAAGAUUACCACUGUUACAGUGACGGGCCCGCCGGGUCCUCCCGGGCCCAUAGGACCGCACGGAAUCAAGGGGGACCGUGGUUUGCCUGGCCUCCCGGGACUUGACGGAGAACGCGGCUACAAGGGUUCCAAGGGAGACAUGGGAAUGCCAGGAGCGUCGGGUGACAAAGGAGCAACCGGUUUACCUGGUUUACCUGGUGUGAAUGGUGUGAAAGGAGACAAGGGAGAUUCUGGUCUCCCAGGUCCACAAGGUUCUUCAAUUAUUGGCCCUCCAGGGGUGCCAGGACCUCAUGGGCCCCCGGGACCUAUGGGACCCCACGGUUUCCCCGGACCAAAGGGCGAGCCCGGUUUGCACGGUACCAAGGGGGCACGUGGGGAACCAGGCCACAAGGGAGACCGAGGACCAUUAGGUCUCCCUGGAGCCUCCGGCUUGGACGGCAAGCCCGGGAUCAGGGGCACCGACGGACCUUCAGGUCCGGCCGGUCCGGCCGGCCCAAAGGGGGACAGAGGGGAGCGAGGGGCGGCGGGGGACCCGGGACCGAGGGGACCCUACGGAUUGCCUGGAGCAGCGGGAACACCGGGCUUGGAUGGGUUGCCGGGUUUGAGAGGAGAGAAAGGCGACGUUGGGGAAAGAGGAGAGAAGGGGGAGAAGGGAAAGAAGGGAAAAAAAGGGCCUAAGGGCGAGAAAGGAGAACAGGGUGCCCCUGGAUUAGAUGCACCCUGCCCAUUGGGUUUCCGGGGAUUUAAGGGUGAAAAGGGGGAGCCAGGGCAGCCAGGUCUGGACGGGCUGGAUGCCCCGUGCCAAUUGGUACAGUAUUCCUCUCUUUCCUCCACCACUCACCCUUCUGCACGCCACUCACUUUCACCCACGCAUGCGCAGCCAUCUUCUUUUGAUUUAUCGCACAUGUGCACAACACCCACUGCAUCCGACUAACUCCUUGACUGCACGCAGCCUUUUUUCAAACAAUACAAGUCGAUUGCGACGCACACAAAAAAGGAAACGAGUCAAUUCUGAUGAGCUCGCAUCAAGUCCCUUUAACGCACCCCCUUCCACGCCCCAUUAAAAAUCCAAAUCCCAUUUUCUUGUAGCUACUCCCUCCAAGUUCCCUGCUAACAUUACGCUAACCGACUUUUCUACUGAUUCAUGACCCCGUGCUCCUCCAGCCCUACGAUUAACUCGUUCCCUCCUCUUCUUGUACCAAUUGGGCCAGACCGUCACAAGAGGGAUACACGCCGAUGUUGCGUGAAGUUUCUUAUCAUAUUUCACGUGCUACACUGGAAGUCAAAACCGCAACGCGGAGCGCUUGUGCGCGUGCGAGCGAACUCGACAUUCACGCGCACGCGUUAAACUUUUCACCAGAACACAAAGAAACACUCAGCUUGCAUGCCAUUUACAGUACUUCAUUUUUUUAUGUGUAUUAUUUGCAUGAAUGACAAACUGUUUGUGUCCACCGUGAUCAUAUCGAAACCUGAGUACAGAUAUCACCAAAUGAUGAAAUUGAAUGCACUUGCAGUAAAUACAGUAUGUACGCACUACGACUAAAAUAUCGACAAAUGCAAAGUUUUUGUGUGACCCAAAAUGAGACCGAGAUAAAUUAUUUCAAAACUUUGAGUUAAAAGGACAUUUGUUAAUUAUGAACACAGCCACAUCGCCGGUUGUGCACAUUUGCACGUCUUUUUUUUUUUUUUUUUUUUUUUAUGAUUAUCUUGGUCUAUUUUUCAUAACGCAAAAACCUGGCAUUUCACAAGGGUUGUGUCGACUUUUUGUAUCAUCUCUAUGAAUAUUGUGCGUUAGUUAUGUGGCCUCGUAGCAUAAAAAUCAAUCCACCCAUCACCAUUUUGAAUGAGUGCGUGUGCUCGUUUGUUUGUGAACGGGCUCCCGAUUCCGGUUCGGUCUACAUUGUGCGUUUGUCGUGUGCACAGGGUCCCGACGGCUUGCCGAUGCCUGGCUGCUGGCAGAAGUGAUCACGCUAACCUGAAACGCAUGGAGUUUGUAAAUAAUGCUUUUUUUUUUUGUAUUUAUAGUUUUUUUUUUUUUUUUUUUUUAAUGGUGUUUAAAAAAAAAAAUUAAAAAAAAGAAGUCUGUGUAUGAAGAUGCAAAACCAACCCUGACAACAAAAGAAACCCUGGGAUGCUUCACACCCCUAAAGCUGCUUCUACUCACACCACCGCCUGGGAAAAACCUGCGUGGCCGCUCUCACAUCCACAUUGUUUGUGCGUUUGUGUGUUCGUUUGGAGCUUGUGGCGGAACUUCACCGCUUCCCAGACCGGCUGGGGUGCCACAGGGCCCUGGCCUCAGCCCGUUGGGACUUGGAGACAGGAAGCGGGGCAACCUGGAGGCCAAAACUGUGUUUUAUGUUGUCACUCAACGCAGCGUCAAUCGUUUACGGAGAAAAAAGACAAAACCUCGCCAAAGCAUGUUUAUACGUCUUGUGCGCACUGUUUUGGCUUCUGUGGAGGAAAAACUAACAACAACAAAAAGGCCGAGCGAGAGAGAGAGAGAGAGUGAGAGUUUUUUUUUUUUUCUCUCUUAAUUUCCACUUUUCCUAAAUCUUCCCAAGGGAGUCACGCCAUGGCUGGUGGCCUGAAAAGUCCUGAAAGUGAAAGAUGUUUGUGGCUUGAAGGCGCCCGCCCGUGCCUGCAAGAGGCGAUGAUGGGCGCUGUCCGCUGGGUACGGGGUGCCCACACCUCCUUUGGUUGGCUGCACUGAUAAGAGUCCACAAAGGGUUUUAGUUGGGUCGGGUGUACCCCCCCGCCCCGACCCACACCACGCCCCACGGACGGUUUUCACGGAGAAGGCUGAGGAUCUACUGAGAGUGUUGAUGGAAUGCAAUCAUGUUUUUGGAUUUUGUGUUUUUGAAUGUUGGUGAUCUUGCCAAAGCGCAAGCGACCUGAGAUAUGUUGCGUCGUAUGUUUGCAUGUCAGGUGCUUGUUCUGUCCCUCACAAAUAAAAAAAAAAUAAUAAUAAUUAACACUAUCAGAAAAUGUUUGCAAAUGUCUUGAAAAAAAAUACAAAGAUAAUCAGUCUGCUUUCAUGGAGGACGACAGAAAUCGGAGAAUCUUUAUUGUUGAGAGGCUGAAAUCGGAGGAUUUGGACAAUUUCACGUUAAACAAUGGCUCUGAAUGAUUAAUCGAUUAUCAAAAUACUUCUCGAUUAGUUGUUUUCGAUUACUUGCUCAUCAAAAUACUUGUUGAUUAAUUUGAUAAUUGAUUAUUUUUCAAUUAAUCGAUUAUUUUAUGAUCAAAAUCGGAGUCCAUUAAUUUGACAAUUAUUUUUCGAUUAAUCGAUUAAUUGAACCUCUAAACUCAACCUCGCUUGCAGCUCAAAAAAGAAGGCAAACAACAGCUCAUAACUCGAACAACCCGGGAUGUUAAGGCACUCUGAAAUUAAAGUACAUCAUUACAAAAAAAAAACCGCUGAAAAUGUCAUCGAUCAAUCGAGUUGUAUCCAUCCUUGGUGGACGUUUUGAUGCUUGACCUUUUGGUGACCAGGUCAAACAUCAAAGCACACCGACUCCAACCUGGACUGAAGGCCACUCCCCCCCCGGCGAUUUUCCAAAUGAUUUUGUCAACAGGUCACAUGACUAACGUACGGCAAAGACAUCACGUGACGGGAUGUCGGGGCGCUUUGGCAACAUGACGCUACGAUGAUGUUUUGUUUUCUCAAUGCUAAUUGUUUUCUUUUUGGUGUAUUAUCGCCUUUGGUGCCUGAAGCUUUUAUUCAUUCCUUUAUGACAAACUUUAAAGCAACUUUUCAUUUAUUGUGGGUUUUUUUUUGGAGAGGAACUGGUAUGUUUUUGUUCAGCUUCAAGUAGGUGCAAAACAACAACAACAACAAACACCUGAAUGCUACUUCGGGUUGUCAGUUCACUGCAUGCACAUUUGUAUUUUUCAUAAAUGUUAACACCCAUGAAGCCAUUUUGGUGCAUUAUGUUUCUAUAGUCGCUGCUAUGCGAAGUCGUUUCCUCCCGAACACGCAGAAGGAACGAUUCCGCCGCGCUCACCAAUUUCUUUGUCGAUGGUUGCCACCAUUUUGUUGCGUCUAACCGUGUAUUUGUUAUUUGAUGACAUAAUUUAUUUUUCUAUGAUUUCUUGGAUUGCUUGGGUUUUCCGAGCGGCAUUCCUCUGUGUCGCUUGGGGCGUCGCCACGACGACACAUCCGCUUUUAUUUCGGUGCCCUGAGUGUUGUUGGGCCCAGCCAAUGCGAUGUUUCGCUUUUCUCCUUUCCCUUUGCAUUGAAUGUAGUUUAGUUGGCGAGUUAAUGUACUGUUGAGAUGUGUGCUCAUUUGACAAAGUGCAAUUUUAUGAUUACCGUGUGUUUGUGUGGAACGCAGCUGGAACGUCACAUUUGAGUGAUUUUUCUGUCUCUCUUUGGUCCAGUUGUGCACCCCAUUUUAAAUAAAACCACUUUUUUUGGGUGUGGGGGGUGGGGGGGAUGACAAAUAUUAGAAAAGUGAACUUUCAGAUACAUCUCCUGUUCAAACGCUGUCCAUUCACCUCGUGUGUUCCCACAAAUAAUGACUAUUAAUGUAUUUUUAGUGUUCCUCUUUGAGUUUGAGUUUUUGGAGUUUGUCCGCACAAGGUGCUGUGUCUUUAGCAUGUGCAGCUAUUUCUUGUUUUAUUCAGUUUUAGCUCAUGGAUUCCUUUUUAAUCAUGUGCAGAAGUGCCAAAAUGUCGCCAUUCGGAAAUAUAUGAAAAGACUGUGAGAUGCCGUGCGUGGUUUUGGAACAAAGGACAAACAAUGUGUAAAAAUGUCAAUGAAAAACAGUUGUGUGAGUUGAAAUAUAUAUGUAUUAUUUUGGAUUGUGUUGGAGUUUCUGGUUUCUGUUCUGCAUUUGUACGAUUUUUAUUCAGUUUGUAUUAUGAUUAAGUUUUUGUUUUUUUUACACUUUUGAUUGACAUUUCUUUAAAAAAAAAUAAAUAAUAAUAAUGUGUUGUGUUGAAACGCAACUGACUGUCCUGUUGGAGCCAAAUAAACGCAGUCUUUCAAACGCAUCACUGGUAACCGCCGCACACAGUUGCAAUGCUCAAGAAUUUCAUUUAUGAAUGAAGUGCUUGCAGGUGACACCAGUAACACUGACAUUCAAUAAAGUGACCAUGCAAAAGUAA
Phyllopteryx taeniolatus (common seadragon) is the source of this 6189-nucleotide RNA transcript. It is a transcript of the gene named collagen alpha-1(XXV) chain, with no coding region annotated. Lineage: Eukaryota; Metazoa; Chordata; Actinopteri; Syngnathiformes; Syngnathidae. The record is from RefSeq and is a predicted model, not a curated record. The transcript is spliced from 35 exons.